This 391-nucleotide ribosomal RNA is filed under the name uncultured bacterium. Its description in RNAcentral is "partial 16S ribosomal RNA". It matches the Rfam family "Bacterial small subunit ribosomal RNA", at positions 523 to 916 of the family's 1533-position model. The record is from RNAcentral.
AUACGGAGGAUGCAAGCGUUAUCCGGAUUUAUUGGGUUUAAAGGGUGCGUAGGCGGUUUGCUAAGCGGGAGGUGAAAUGCCGGCGCUCAACGUCGGAAGUGCCUCCCGAACUGGUGGACUGGAAUGACUCUGCCGUGGGAGGAAUGUGUAGUGUAGCGGUGAAAUGCUUAGAGAUUACACAGAACACCGAUUGCGAAGGCAUCUCACGAAGGGUUGAUUGACGCUGAGGCACGAAAGCGUGGGGAUCAAACAGGAUUAGAUACCCUGGUAGUCCACGCAGUAAACGAUGAUGGCUAACCGCUGGUUUUUUCGGAUCAGUGGCCAAGCGAAAGCGAUAAGCCAUCCACCUGGGGAGUACGACCGCAAGGUUGAAACUCAAAUGAAUUGACGG